GUUUGGUUCCCCGUUGGGAUAUUGUCUUAGUGAUAUAGGGUUUUCAUCCUUUCGUAAUUGGUGGUUUGCUCUGCAAAUAUAUGUUGCUAAAUCAGAUUACUGGGAACUCUGAAUAUCCAGCUUGCUAUGCUGGUAUAUAUGGAAAGCAAGAAAUGCGAUGGUUUUCCAAGCUGAAUCGCCUAAUCCUAUCCUUACCAUUUCAAAGGCUACGAAUACUUUUGAGAAACUACAUUUGACAGCACUUCUGCAACAUUAUUCUUUGCCAAUUCCUCCGGGCCCUUCCACAAUUAG
This 291-nucleotide unclassified non-coding RNA is filed under the name Hevea brasiliensis (rubber tree). The record is from RNAcentral. Lineage: Eukaryota; Viridiplantae; Streptophyta; Magnoliopsida; Malpighiales; Euphorbiaceae.